UGGGCCAGGAUGAAGGCCCAGAGGUGAAUGAACAGGAGUGGGAGAGAGAAAUGGAGCAGGCCCACCCAGAGGUUUCAUUAAAUUCUGUGGUUGGCUAACUAACUCAAAGACAAUUAAGAUUAGAGAAGUGCUGGGCCAAGAGGUGAUAAUUAUGGUGGACCCAGGUGCCACCCACAAUUUCAUCUCCCACUCCACUGUUAAAGCUUUGGGCCUGCCCAUCUCCCAAACAAAAAAAUUUGAAGUUUCGUUGG
Molecule: unclassified non-coding RNA, 251 nt
Filed under: Ascomycota sp.
Lineage: Eukaryota; Fungi; Ascomycota
Description: partial contains small subunit ribosomal RNA and internal#transcribed spacer 1
Source: RNAcentral